This 1424-nucleotide ribosomal RNA is filed under the name metagenome. Its description in RNAcentral is "bacterial SSU rRNA". It matches the Rfam family "Archaeal small subunit ribosomal RNA". The record is from RNAcentral.
ACCCGUUGAUCCUGCGGGAGAUUGCUGCUAUUGGGAUUCGACUAAGCCAUGCAAGUCUUCUCGUAAGAGAGGCAUAAGGCUCAGUAACACGUCGUUAACCUGCCCUAAGGUCAGGCAUACCCUCGGAAAACUGAGGUCAGCACCUGAUAUGAUAUUCUUCUUGGAAUAGUGUUUAUCUUAAACUCGCGCCUUAGGAUGGGACGGCGGCGGAUUAGGCUGAUGGUGAGGUAAUGGCUCACCAAACCGAAGAUCCGUACGGGCCGUGAGAGCGGUAGCCCGGAGAGGGACACUGAGAUACUGGUCCUAGCCCUACGGGGUGCAGCAGGCGCGAAACCUUUACAAUGCACGCAAGUGUGAUAAGGGAAUCCCAAGUGCUCAUGCAAUGCAUGGGCUUUUUUUCAAGAGUAAAUAUCUUGGAGAAUAAGUGGUGGGAAAGACUGGUGCCAGCCGCCGCGGUAACACCAGCGCCACGAGUGGCAAUCGUAUUUAUUGGGCCUAAAGCGUCCGUAGCCGGUUAUAUAAAUCCUUUGUGAAAUCAUUGAGCUCAACUCAAUGAAUGGCAGAGGACACUGUGUAACUCGAGACCGGGAGAAGUCAGAGGUAUUCCACGGGGAGCGGUAAAAUGCUUUAAUCCGUGGCAGACCACCAAUGGCGAAGGCAUCUGACCAGAACGGAUCUGACGGUGAGGGACGAAAGCUAGGGGAGCGAACCGGAUUAGAUACCCGAGUAGUCCUAGCUGUAAACGCUGCGAGCAAGGUGUUGCAUAUUCUACAUGGAUAUGCAGUGUCGAAAUGAAGAUGUUAAGCUCGCCGCCUGGGAAGUACGGUCGCAAGGCUGAAACUUAAAGGAAUUGGCGGGGGAGCACCACAAGGGGUGCGGCGUGCGGUUUAAUCUAACUCAACGCAGAAAACCUCACUAGGAGCGACGGCAGGAUGAAGAUCAGGUUGAAGACCUUAUCUGACGAGCCGAGAGGUAGUGCAUGGCCGUCGUCAGCUCGUGCUGUAAAGUGUCCAGUUAAGUCUGGCAACGAGCGAGACCUGUACCCACAAUUGCUAACGACCUUUGGGAUCGAGCACAUUGUGGGGACUGCAUGUGUAAACAUGAGGAAGGUGCAGACUACGGUAGGUCUGUAUGCUCCGAAUCUCCUAGGCUACACGCGCGCAACAAUGGUAGGGACAAUGGGAUGCAACUCCGAAAGGAGAAGCUAAACCUCUAAACCCUAUCUCAGUCCGGAUUGAGGGUUGUAACCCACCCUCAUGACGAUGGAAUCCCUAGUAAUCAGAGUUCAUCAUACUCUGGUGAAUAUGUCCUUGCUCCUUGCACACACCGCCCGUCAAACCAACCGAGCAGGUUUUAGGUAAGACUUAGUUUUUUGAUUAAGCCGAAUCUAAGUUCAGUGAGGUGGGUUAAGUCGUCACAAGGUA